Molecule: ribosomal RNA, 590 nt
Filed under: uncultured soil bacterium
Lineage: Bacteria
Description: bacterial SSU rRNA
Rfam family: Bacterial small subunit ribosomal RNA
Source: RNAcentral
GUCUGAGAGGACGAUCAGCCACACUGGGACUGAGACACGGGCCAGACUCCUACGGGAGGCAGCAGUGGGGAAUCUUGCACAAUGGAGGAAACUCUGAUGCAGCGACGCCGCGUGAGCGAUGAAGCCCUUCGGGGUGUAAAGCUCUUUCGACGGGAACGAUAAUGACGGUACCCGGAGAAGAAGCUGCGGCUAACUACGUGCCAGCAGCCGCGGUAAUACGCAGGCAGCAAGCGUUGUUCGGAAUUACUGGGCGUAAAGAGUGUGUAGGCGGUUCUCUAUGUUCGGUGUGAAAUCUCCCGGCUUAACUGGGAGGGUGCGCCGAAAACUGGAGGGCUUGAGUAUGGGAGAGGAAAGCGGAAUUCCUGGUGUAGCGGUGAAAUGCGUAGAUAUCAGGAGGGACACCUGCGGUGUAGACGGCCUUCUGGACCAUCACUGACGCUGAGACACGAAAGCGUGGGUAGCAAACAGGAUUAGAUACCCUGGUAGUCCACGCCCUAAACGAUGCAUACUUGGUGUGAGCCGUUCAUUCGGUUCGUGCCGGAGCUAACGCGUUAAGUAUGCCGCCUGGGGAGUACGGUCGCAAGGCUGAA